RNAcentral lists this ribosomal RNA (452 nucleotides) under uncultured soil bacterium. RNAcentral's name for it is "bacterial SSU rRNA". It matches the Rfam family "Bacterial small subunit ribosomal RNA", at positions 946 to 1384 of the family's 1533-position model. The record is from RNAcentral.
GGAAUUCGAUUAACGCGAAGAACCUUACUUGGGUUAGACAACGGCGGACCAUCCUAGAAAUAGGAUUUUCCUUUCGGGGACCGCCGGUUCAGGUGCUGCAUGGCUGUCGUCAGCUCGUGCCGUGAGGUGUUGGGUUAAGUCCCGCAACGAGCGCAACCCUCGUCCUUAGUUGCCACCAUUCAGUUGGGCACUCUAGGGAGACUGCCGGCGUUAAGCCGGAGGAAGGUGGGGACGACGUCAAGUCAUCAUGGCCCUUAUGUCCAGGGCCACACACGUGCUACAAUGGGCGGUACAAAGGGUCGCAAACCCGCGAGGGGGAGCCAAUCCCAAAAAGCCGCUCUCAGUUCGGAUUGGAGUCUGCAACUCGACUCCAUGAAGUUGGAAUCGCUAGUAAUCGCGGAUCAGCACGCCGCGGUGAAUACGUUCCCGGGCCUUGUCACACCGAAUCACUA